UUGUUUGUAUAAUAAUCUCCUAGCGCCGGUGACGCUAUUAAAAUAUCCCGGCAUGCUCGCGAACCAUGUGCCCCUGAUUGUUUUUGGUGUACAAAAUACUUUUGCUGUGUCUUCUCUUCUGUGUAUGUAGGUGUAUUUACCUGUAUGUAUCCCGAUCUGUGCCAGUUGGUCGCGUGUUUCCGGGUUCACCGUCUUUUUUUAGUUUCGUUAUUGCCGCUGCCAUGCUUCUGUUUGCUAAAUGGAAUACUUCGCAAAAUAUGUUCACAUUUUAUUGCUGAACUGGGGCAUAUUUCCAAAAAGCUCCCGUUAGUGACUUAGAUUCAGUUGCAAGGGUCCAACUGUGUAAGUCGCUAAGGUAAUCAGCAACUAUAAGUUUGGGAAACGUACCUCCGUCACAUUAUUUAUAUGAAUUAUACUAAUGAUUUUACUGCAUACGUUAAUAUUUUAAGAAAAAUACUAUUUUAAGAGUGAACUCUUUGAGACUGGGACCUGGGUACUUUAGAUGUUACUGUUUGCUGUCGUCAAGGACAAGCAGAACGGAGCCAGGGCACCAUAUGGCCAAGUUGGAGGUCUGCAGUCAGGGCGGGUGACGGAACGGUCCUUACGGAUGACACUGCAGUUGUGACCCACUGGGCCGGCAACUUUGAGCAGUUGUUUAAAGCUGACCCUUCAGGUAGGAUAUUGGAGAUCUCUGGGUCCACGGUUCUCAAAGCUGAUCCUCUGAUCAGCUAUGAAGCUCCUAAUCUCACUGAGAUUGCUCGGGUGGUGAAUCAGCUGGAGGUGGGGAAGGCUGCAGGGAUCUGUGGUAUCUGGGGUGAAAUUCUCCAGGCUGGUGGUAUGGCUGUCCUCCUGGCAUUGCAUGGUGGUUAGUUACUCAUGCUCUCUACUAUGAACACCUGUGUAAAAUAAUAAUUAAACUCAUUUACUAUAUCAAUUUCAUUUUCAAUUAUAAGGCCCUUACUAUCCUGCAAAUGAGUGAUUUCAGCUUUUAGAGCUUUUGGAGUUAAAAUAUUGGAUGAAUGUUUUAUUGUCAUCCUUAGCCUCCAAUGCAAUUUUUCUUUCUACAUUCCUCUUAGAGAGUCUAAUGUUUUUUAACUCAACCUGUAGACUUAAAUCAUUAGUUAAUUUCCAUUUGUGGAAGAGAGCCCUUUUGCUCAUGAUUUUAUUCUUAAUUUCCUUAGUAAACCACCUUGAUUGUAGGUUCCUAGAUUCAGUUUUGCUGGAAACAGGUAUGAAGUCCUCUUGCACUUGCAACAAUAUGCUUUUAAAAAAUUCCCAUGCCUCUUCAAUCGAUUUGCCAUUUAACUCCAUCAAAUUUACAAUUUCUAGUUUCAGUCUCAUACCAUUAAAGUUAGCCUUCCUAACAUUGUAUACUUUUGUUUAGAACAUUGAUCUUCGGACAGUAAAAUUAACUACCACUACUGUUCAAUGGUUCUAAAAUUUUCCAAUCCUAUCCUGGUUAUUAGAGAAAACAAGAUCAAGAAGGGCUUCUUCCCUGGUAGGGGUAUUAACAAACUGAGUAAAAAAACAAUCCUGUACUAAUUCCACCAUCUCAAGUUCAUUUACAGAGGAGCCAGAGACUGUGUCCCACUGUAUCCCAGGUGAAUUAAAAUCACCCAUAACCACCACAUCAUUUUUAUUACUCAUAAUCCUGAUAUCGUCAUAUAACAUUCUGCCUUCCUCUGCAGCUACAUUAGAUGCUCUAUAACAAACCCCGACAAUUAGGCUAUUUGAGUUUUUAGCAUCUAGUUUUAUUCAUACAACUUCUGUACUUUUAUUUUUAUCAGUGAGCUCCCUUGCCUACAAGUUUUCUUUUACGUAUGCUGCACCGGGGUUUAAUUUCAGGGAAAGCAAACAAAAUGCAGACUGACAAUACAAUGACAGGACCGGGGAAACAAAUGGAAAUGCGGACUAAAUACAUUGGACUAAUGACAAGCAUCAGAAACAGCUGGUAAACACGGGGAAUCCACACGGGGUUAAUGAGAGGGUGUGGCACACGGAAGGAGUGGACAAUCGGGGCAUUACAGGACCCCCCUCCAAAGGUGCAGUGCGAAGGACACAACAGCACAUGGGGAGACAAAAGCAACAGCAUCAAUGGUGCACAGGAAACAGCACUGACGCACAGAACUGGCACAAGGAGGACAACGCAAAUAAUAAGCUACAAACCACGGGGAACACAGACAAACACAAAGUCACCAAAGAUGGAAACACAGGACUGGGGAAUACUAAAGGGGACUAUGGAGGGCCCACACCAGGGCGGACACCCAUAGGAGGCACAAAGGGACCGGCAGGGAACAAAGACUCAGAGGACAGGAAGGGAACACAGGGGGCACAUAGGGACCGGCAGGGAACAAAGACACAGAGGGACAGGAAGGAAACACAGGGGGCACAUAGGGACCGGCAGGGAACAAAGACACAGAGAGACAGGAAGGAAACACAGGGGGCACAUAGGGACCGGCAGGGAACAAAGACACAGAGGGACAGGAAGGAAACAAAGGGAGAACAUUGGGACCGGCAGGGAACAAAGACACAGAGAGACACGAAGGAAACAAUGGGGGCACAUAGAAACUAGAGGGAAAUGAGGGUGAAGUAGGUUGGGGAGUGAACACAGGGGGCCAGAAACCAAAGGGCAAGGGGAGCUGGAGGGACCCUCAGCGGGCAUAAGGUGGGGGGCGCUGGAGCAGCAGGUGACCGCGAGGCUGGAACAGGGGCUGAAGGGGAUGUCGAGGCUGGUGAGGGGACAGGUAAAGGAGCUGGUGGAGAUGGUGAGGAGGGAGCCGAAGGGGACUGUGGCGGAGGGGAGGACAAAACUGUAGCCACGGCAGGCGGGGACACAGCUACAGUCGGUCCAGACACAAGUGACCGACUAGGCAUCGGAGACCGGGCUAAAAAUAUAUAAAUAUAAAUAGAUGGAGUACAUAUUAUAACAGACUACUAUAGAUGCCAGUAGGCCUUUCUCAACAUCCCCAACCUAAUAGAAACAGAGAGAGUUUGUUACAUUAAAUAAUGAAACAAUUAGCCCUGAAAGUGAUAUAUGUGAGUGGCACAACAGCGAACAAAUUCAAUGUUCUGUCAACGAUUGUAUAUGCUGGCUUCCUCUGAAUCCGUGCUACUGGUGCAUCAUCACAGAGUUAAUGACAGUAACAUAUAUGAAACAGUGAGAAGAUGUGAAUGCAAAUCGUUUCUCUUUUCCUUGGAUAUUUUUACUUUGACUACACCAGACAAAUUGAAGACUUGAAUAAAAUGUGGAAGAGGAUCCUACAAUUCUUUAGAGUUCAGUUGACAAAGUGGAGGAAGGCAGCGAGAGCUGUUAUGAAGGAAGCUUUGAAAAAGGACAGAGAUCUCACCAGUGGUCUAGCAGUAGUGCUUGUACUGUCACACUUCAGAGGCAGAGGAUGCCCUUUUCCUCCUUGCUAAUGUAAGUGCCCAAAGCCAUUCUGUUGUAUUUUUAGGUAUUUCAAUUCAUUGAUUGUAGGCCAUAUGACAGGACCAUAUUUGGAGAAAAGAAAGCCCAGUGGAAAACAGAUUAAAUUACUAUUAUUAUUGGUAGUAAUAUUAUUUAACCAUACAAACAAAAACAAAAGUUAUAUACUGGUUACAUGGGGUCAUUUCUUGUGUAUUUUAAUCUCUAUUACUUUUUUUCCUAUACUUUUCACAGUUGAUUAUUACUCCUGCUGAUGCAGAGAAGCAGUUGUCUCUCCUCAUCAGCCCAUGGCUAAUCAUGCUAGAUUAUACGUAUAACAGUGAAGAUAAAUUUCCAGCAUUGGCAAAGCAAAUUAGUUUAUUUCUGUAGCAGCUCCACUAAAAAUAAUAAAUGUUCAAAAAUAUGCCUGAAACGGGAUAGCAGAUGCAAUGUGCAGAUAAGGUCGUAGUGUUGUUACUAGCUUAAUGUUUCACUUAUUCUGCAGGAGACAGCAUCCUGAGUGCAUCAGAAUGGAUGUUGUCAUUUGAGGGGUAUGUUGCACAUUCAACUCCGGUGCCUGACUUCGCCACUGCCUUGGCUGUGCUCUUUGCCAGUUAUGUGUUCAGCAUUGAACAUCAGGUGAAAGCAGCCAGAACACUGGAAUACUGGAGGUUUCUAGUAAGGAUUAAUACUGAUUCCAGCAAGUAAAGUGGCAGUAUCAUUAGGAACCUAAAACUGGAAAACUGGUAAAAAAAAGAAGACAUUACAUAUGAACUCAUAUGCUCAUUAGGGACUUCACCGAGUUUGAUUGAGUGAUGACUCGACAUAAGUGAGUUUUACACCUUAGUUUUUAAUCUGACAGAGGUAAAACAUCCCAAAAGAGUCCAUGUAAAUGUUCAACAUCACAUUUUAUUAUUCAGGGACACAGAGGGGCAUGGUGGAUGUAACUGAGGAAAAUGUUGAGAUGAGGAGAUGCAAGCAGUUUUGUCACUUCUGCCAAUAAUGUGAAGACAUUAACAGCUUUGAAAAAAAGAAUUAUUCAGUGUUACACUGUUAGUCAAAACAAAUUUAUUAUUUUGGAAGGACACGGUCUAUGAAGGUGUAGCCUUUGCAGGCUGCGUUCUUCGAAGGUUGAAUUAUAAAUGUUGGGAAAUGGGAUGGUCUGGCCUAAGAAUAAUUUCUUAUUUACGUCACCAGCUGUUCCCGCCCAUGCCCUUGUGUCACGCAGCACCACUCCUAUCGCCUGGCCUGGGACACUCCCACUUUACCUCCAUGCUAUGAAUCUUGGGAUAGGUUGGGCUGGGAAGGUGCAGAAAAGGGAUGCAAUUCUAGACUGCAUUUGAAGGAGACUUGUAAUGUGUGCUAUUAAUAUUGACAUUGCAAGCUAUGCACAAACGAUUGUCAUAUCGCAGCUUGGUUGAGAUCAGGCUUUUGCCUACCUGCCUACUGUAUAUACGGUAUAAGGUAUUUUCAUAAACAACCUUAUUUUUCAAUACAAAAAUCUUGGUGAUGCAUUUGGUCUUUGUGCUGUUAAUAACAUUACAGUAUUAAAACACUGCAGUAUUUUUGUGUUACAAUCAUGUACUAUUAUAGUUACAAAUACAGUAGUUGAAGCCGUGGCCAGGUAAAUUGGUGGUGUAAAUCACUGAAUCUUGCUUUUAUGUCUUUCCCCAAAUAUGUAAAUUACAAAUAUGUAAAUGAACCUGCAGUAACAACUCUUAACCUCAUGAACUAAAGUUCUGAUAUACUGUGACUUUGGCACAUUCCAGGGGCAUCGGAAAGAGGGGGAAGGUGUCCGCCCUAAUAUCAGCAGAACCCCCCCCCCCCCCACCCUCAUUCUCAAUUGAUAAAUACAUACAGUACAUAAUCAACAGCAUGUUCCUUAUCUUUUAUUGUGAAUCUGUGUGUUACUGAGGCCAAUCAUUUUAUCCUGUUGAUCAGUUAUUUUUUUUAGUUAUGUUUGGUUAGGAAACUGUACCCUUAAUGAUGUUAUUUUAAAUUACCAGUAUGAUUUGACAGCAGUAAUGAUACUGUCACACCCCGCUUCGGUCCCUUCCGUUCUCUCUCCCUAGUGUGGCUCUAACGAAUCACACCAAUUAAUUAUUUGUCUUGCCUCUCAUUUCAGCCCUUGUGUGAUUCACUCCAGCUGCCUCUUGUCUGGGGCUGCGUGAUAUAUCGUUUCGGCAUCGUCAUCGCAAUGUACAUGUGCAAUAGUCACAUUGCAGAACGUGCAAUGUCAAGUAACGCAAAUUAAAUUAAGCAGUGUGGACAACGCUUUUAGUGUUUUUAUUCUUAAACAAUCUACAAAAGUUUGUCAAUCACUAACAUUCUUGAUCUCAGUGCUAACAACUUUCCUUAGUUUAAUGCUCAUGCUCUGUUUAGUACUGAUUAAGUUGUCAUUACCGUUAUAUUUGGACAAAAUCAGCUCAAUCUUUCUAGAAUUAUACCAAUAGAGCUAUUGAACUAAUUAGAUUUUUUUAAAUCCUAAUAUCGCAAUAUAUAUAUCGCAGAAAGAAUAAAUAAUGCAAUGUGAUUUUCUUCACAAUAUCGUGCAGCCCUACUCUUGUCUGCUCCCUCAUCAGUGGUGUUAUAAAGUGUCUCCCAGUCUUGUGCUCCCCAGACCAGUCACUGAUGCCAUCCUUGGCUUGUUUGUGAAUGCUGCUCCUGCCUGUUACCUGUUUCCUUUAUGUUUUCCAGUCCUUGGUUUUAAUCUCUCAUGAUCCUUUUGUUUUGCUCCUGCUCCCCAAUAAAGCCCCAUUAGGUUUUGCCCCAAA
Molecule: long non-coding RNA, 6177 nt
Organism: Brienomyrus brachyistius
Lineage: Eukaryota; Metazoa; Chordata; Actinopteri; Osteoglossiformes; Mormyridae
Exons: 3
Source: RefSeq, a predicted model, not a curated record